This is a long non-coding RNA of Rosa chinensis, 891 nucleotides long. RefSeq lists it as uncharacterized. NCBI's taxonomy places the organism in Eukaryota, Viridiplantae, Streptophyta, Magnoliopsida, Rosales, Rosaceae. The record is from RefSeq and is a predicted model, not a curated record. The transcript is spliced from 2 exons.
GGUAUGUGGUGUCUGGGAUGGUGGUCUGAAAAAUGAGUGUGAAAGGGUGUUGGGGUUGCUGGUAAAUCUGAUGCCAAGACGGAAGGGAAAGUUUCUAGAGAGAGAGGGUCCUCCUUCUCUCUAUAAAUUUUCUCAAAUCAGCCAUCAUUUUGAGAGUCUCACCAUUACCUCCGUUUCCACCACCACCACCACCACCACCACCUUUUACCUCCAUCUCCACUUCAUCCACCCAGCCCUUUUCUUGACCAGAUCUGCCCUUUUCCUUCAUUUUCCUCCUCUUUCUCUUCCCUCUACUCCCUUCAAGAUCUCCAUCUACCCAUCACCUGCUGCUGCUAUCAUGAGCGUUACCAUGACUGGGUAUGACAAAUUUGGCUUUCAGAUCUGCUCCAUGCUCCACCACCUCUAAACAAACUUUCACCCGUUCGCGAAUUUUUGUUAUAUCAACAGAGGGUGUCCAGAUUACCUCGGUAAUCACUCCCUCUUCGGUUACUUGGUUUAUAUUUGGCGUUCUUGAACCCGGCGUGUGUCACAACUGGUGGAGAAGGUGGUAUGAUCUGAUGCUGCGACGGCGAAUUCACGUCAAGCAACAACUGGAAUAUUGCGGCAGGAAGACUUUGUAGCUGAUGAAGAUGUGGUGGCUGCUAGAAAUGUUAGGGUUUCUUUCUUUUAUCUUUGGGCUUCUGACUUGUAAUUUGGCCACACCCACUAUGGGUUUUAUUUUGUUUAUGCUGGGCCUAAGUGCCUCUAUUGCUGGGCCUAUGUGCCUGUUGUUGCUGGGGUCUAUGUGCCUCUUUUUGCUGGGGUUUUUGUAUCUCUUGUAUUUGGAUGUACCAUUUGGGCCUAUGUGCCUCUUGUUCCAUAAAUGAUCACUCAACUAUAACUCAUUCGACA